GGCGGUGUAGCUCAGCCGGUAGAGCAGGGGAAUCAUAAUCCCUGUGUCGGGGGUUCAAGUCCCUCCACCGCCACCA
This 76-nucleotide transfer RNA is filed under the name Micavibrio aeruginosavorus. RNAcentral describes it as "tRNA-Met". It matches the Rfam family "tRNA". From Rfam's summary of the family: Transfer RNA (tRNA) molecules are approximately 80 nucleotides in length. Their secondary structure includes four short double-helical elements and three loops (D, anti-codon, and T loops). RNAcentral also lists the same sequence under 1 other name. Lineage: Bacteria; Pseudomonadati; Bdellovibrionota; Bdellovibrionia; Bdellovibrionales; Pseudobdellovibrionaceae. The record is from RNAcentral.